Molecule: unclassified non-coding RNA, 329 nt
Filed under: soil metagenome
Description: partial contains 5.8S ribosomal RNA, internal transcribed spacer 2, and large subunit ribosomal RNA
Rfam family: 5.8S ribosomal RNA (bases 1-120)
Source: RNAcentral
GAUGAAGAACGCAGCGAAAUGCGAUAAGUAGUGUGAAUUGCAGAACUCAGUGAAUCAUCGAAUCUUUGAACGCACAUUGCGCCCCGUGGUAUUCCGAGGGGCAUGCCUGUUCGAGCGUCAUUAUAACCCCUCAAGCUCAGCUUGGUGUUGGGGCCUGCUGCACUGGCAGCCCUUAAAAUCAGUGGCGGCGCCAUCUGGCUCUAAGCGUAGUAAUUCUUCUCGCUAUGGAGUCCUGGUGGAUGCUUGCCAUCAACCCCCAAUUUUUCUAUGGUUGACCUCGGAUCAGGUAGGGAUACCCGCUGAACUUAAGCAUAUCAAUAAGCGGAGGA